AUACCAAUAUUUUUCCAUGAAAAACAUUUAGAAGAUUUGACAACUAAAGAAUAUAUUUCCUUGGAAAAAGAAAAUGAAAAUCAGUUUGCUUCAUUAGAUCCUGAUCAGAAUGAUAUAGCAAGUGAAACAGCCAGCAAUUCUGUGGCUGGCUGUUCCAGAUUUAUAGAAAAUGAGAAAUUGCUGAGCUUUGAGAGCCUUGAAGAAUGUUCUACAGAUUAUGAUAUUGGAGAUGAAGAGUUCUGUGAUGACCAAUUGGAAGCAUAUUUUGAACAGCUUGUAUUGCCAGAAAUUGAAGAUACAGAGGAACAUGGGGACUAUAUUAAAAGCAUGGAAUUACCUCCAGAACAGG
Molecule: non-coding RNA, 349 nt
Organism: Thamnophis sirtalis
Lineage: Eukaryota; Metazoa; Chordata; Lepidosauria; Squamata; Natricidae
Source: RefSeq, a predicted model, not a curated record